CAAAAACUCUUUCUUCACACAAAAAAGUCAUCUGUGGACGACACGCAGCGUCAAAUUUGCGAUAUUUUCCCAAAUUUUCAAUAUUUCUACCGCGAAAAAUCGCUUCAAUUAUUGUGUAGUUUGUUUUCCCGGUCGCCAGCUCCAUUUUGCUGGUGGUUUGAUUAUUUUUAGUUCCAAGCAAGAUUAUUUGAUUUGCCCAUCGCGUGACCCCUCCGGGCUCAGAUUUACAGAACAAAGCGAAGAAGCAUAAAUUCCCUUCCCUAGAAAUUGAAACGCUAAUAGAAGGGGGUACAAACGAGUUUUGCAAAAUUGAAGACACUCAGAAGGGAGACAAACAAACUAGAAGGCGCCCGUGGUCAAGAUUCGCGCUUUUUGUGUGGAAGCUGCUGCCGGUGCGUGAAACAUAGUUUUCCUCUCGGUUUCGUAGAACAUCCACGCACACGGAUUUUUGGCCUUUCUCUUGUCGUUCUUUUGCGGCGCGAAUUAGUUCGCGACCAAAUUGUAACGGGACUCUUCACGACAGCAGACAGUAGCCAGCGGUCAGCAGCAGCUUUCGAAGCGUAACAACAGAGAACACAAAACUCCAGCGACAAAAUGACGUGGGAACCGCAGCCAGAUGGAUUGAACCAGAUCAUCACCCUGCUGAAACAAUCGCAAUCGACAGACAAUGCGAUUCAGCGUGCCGUACAGAUGAAACUUGAAGAACUGAACCAGUUCCCAGAUUUUAACAACUAUUUGAUUUACGUGCUAACCAAACUGAAGACCCAAGAUGAACCCACACGAUCUUUGUCGGGUCUAAUUCUGAAGAACAACAUCCGCAUCCACGGAACUCAACUUCAGCCGGCGAUUAUUGAGUAUAUCAAGCAAGAAUGUUUGAUGGCCCUGGGAGAUCCAUCGCCUCUAAUCCGGGCGACAGUGGGAAUCCUGAUCACCACCAUAGCUAACAAGGGAGGCCUCCAGACGUGGCCCGAAUUGCUUCCGACGCUUUGUGACAUGCUCGAUUCACAGGAGUACAGCGUUUGCGAAGGUUCUUUCGGCGCAUUGCAGAAAAUUUGCGAAGAUUCGGCCGACACCUUGGACAGCGCUGCCCUGAAUCGCCCACUGAACAUCAUGAUUCCGAAAUUCCUGCAAUUUUUCCGCCACUCGAGCCCUAAGAUUCGCUCUCACGCAAUUGCUUGUAUCAACCAGUUCAUUAUCAACCGAACGCAAGCGCUGAUGCUGCACAUCGAUACGUUCAUCGAGAAUCUGUUCCACCUUUCCUCGGAUGAGGACCGCGAGGUUCGGAAGAACGUCUGCCGAGGUUUGGUCAUGCUGCUGGAAGUGCGAAUGGACCGUUUGAUGCCCCAUAUGAACAGCAUCAUCGAGUACAUGCUGAUUCGUACGCAAGAUCCCGACGAAACAGCCCUAGAGGCGUGCGAAUUUUGGCUUUCUUUGGCGGAGCAGACAAUUUGCAAGGAAGCACUUACGCCUCAUUUGGCCCAGUUGGCGCCGGUGCUCGUUCGGGGUAUGAGAUACUCGGAUAUCGAUAUAAUCAUCUUGAAGGGUGAUGUCGAAGAGGAUGAAAUGAUUCCAGAUCGCGAAGAAGAUAUCAAACCACGGUUCCACAAAUCGCGAACACAUACACAGAAGGCAGGUAACAUGAACUCGCAGGAUCAAGGUUCAAGACCCAUGGAAGGAAACGACGAAGAAGAAGACAUGGACGAUCCUUAUGACGAUAUGGACGAUGACAGCAAUCUGUCCGACUGGAAUCUGCGUAAAUGUAGCGCAGCAGCAUUGGAUGUUCUAGCAAAUGUCUUCAAGGACGAUUUCCUCCCGAUCCUGUUACCUAUUCUGAAGGAAACAUUGUUCCAUCAAGAUUGGCAGAUCAAGGAAAGUGGAAUCUUGGCCUUGGGUGCUAUCGCCGAAGGAUGCAUGAAUGGAAUGAUUCCUCAUUUGCCAGAAUUGAUUCCGUAUCUGAUUUCGUGUCUCUCGGACAAGAAAGCACUGGUACGGGCGAUAACUUGUUGGACACUCUCUCGAUAUGCCCAUUGGGUUGUCAGUCAGCCGCACGAUCAAUACUUGAAACCUCUGAUGGAGGAACUGCUCAAGCGCAUCCUCGAUGCGAACAAACGUGUUCAGGAAGCAGCUUGCUCGGCAUUCGCCACUCUCGAAGAAGAAGCAUGCACGGAAUUGGUUCCUUAUCUUGGAUUCAUACUGAAAACUUUGGUAUUUGCCUUCGGGAAAUACCAACACAAAAAUCUUCUCAUCUUGUACGACGCCAUUGGCACAUUGGCAGACUCCGUUGGUCAUCAUUUGAACAAACCAGAGUAUAUCAACAUGUUGAUGCCACCGUUGAUUCAAAAGUGGAACAUGCUCAAAGACGAAGACAAAGAUCUGUUUCCACUGUUGGAGUGUUUAUCCAGUGUGGCCACAGCUUUGCAGUCCGGAUUCCUUCCAUACUGCGAACCGGUGUACAGAAGAUGUAUAUCGUUGAUACAGCAAACUUUGAAUCAGGAUCUAGCCAGCACUGCGAGUCCCGGACAGUUUGAGCUACCAGAUAAGGAUUUCAUGAUUGUGGCUCUGGAUUUACUUUCCGGCCUGGCAGAGGGACUCGAUGGCCACAUUGAAUCCUUGGUGGUCAGUAGUAACAUCAUGCAGCUUCUCUACCAGUGUAUGCAGGAUUCCAUGCCAGAAGUACGGCAGUCUUCGUUUGCACUACUCGGAGACUUGACAAAGGCAUGCUUCCAGCACGUCCAUCCAUUUAUUGCAGACUUUUUACCUAUUUUGGGCCAAAAUUUGAAUCCGGAAUACAUUUCAGUAUGCAAUAAUGCCACCUGGGCCAUCGGUGAAAUCAGCAUCAAACUACGUGAAGACACGAAGCCGUACAUUCCUUUGGUGCUGGCACAGCUGAUUGAAAUCAUCAACAAUCCUAAUACACCCAAAACACUUUUGGAAAACACCGGUGUUCAUCACUCCGAAACAUCCGGGAUAACGAAGAGAAAGACUCCGCCUUCCGUGGUAUGUGCCAAAUGAUUACCGUCAAUCCGGUUGGAGUGGUGCCCGAUUUCAUCUUUUUCUGCGACGCUGCAGCAUCGUGGAUGAACCCGAAACCAGAUUUGCACGAGAUGCUUCAAAAGAUUCUGCUGGGCUUCAAGACCCAAGUGGGAGAGGAAAAUUGGAGUCGGUUUGUCGAACAAUUUCCUCAGCAGCUCAGCGAGCGAUUGGCACUGAUGUAUAGCAUCUAAGCUGAAAUGUAACGACGGUUUUGCGAUCCAUGCAGCGGUAUGUAGAGGCGCAUUUUAAUGUUCUUCUUUGGAAUAUCAAAAAUAUUGUGUUUGAGAACAUUACAAACCUUAGCAUCACAGUUGGAGUGGGUCUAGGAUGGGAAGGGUUAUUUUUACAAAGGCAGUAUAAUGCAUUCGAUGUUUCGAGAAUUUUUUGACUCUAUACUAAUUGUGGUAUCAAUAGCAGUAGGUGCGUAGCUGAAAUUUUGAAUACCAUUGAAAUUUUUGACUUCAUAAGUUAAAACAGUACUACUAUAGUAAAUCACGUGGUAGAGUGAAGUGCUGCAAAUUUGUUGUAUACAAUUGCAUUUUUAUAUCAUGGAAGUUCGUAGAAUCUUUUGUUUUAAAAUUGGCUGUUUUUAUUUGAAAAGUUUCAGCUUGUCACGUCUUACCAUUUCGAAGAAAAAAUAAAAAAAUCAAAAUCAUAAAAUUUUCUUAUUAGGCAAGCCACUCCAACUAAUCAAAUGAUAUAGUAACUCUAGCUCGCAAUCGUAAGUCUGCUUCGCAUUCUACACAAACGUACUAAAUGCUGAAGUUAGUCACAUUUUAGCGCUGAACAUCAUAGUUAUUGAAAAAGCGAUUUACCAAUACUUCCUCAAUCAUGAAAAUUCCUUCUCAUUAUAUCCUUCCUAGCAAAAGCGAAAUGAGCAAAACAAAACUCCUUACUGGAGACUUCUGAUCCUGUUUUAUAAUUCGAAAUGUUUAGUAACUAUCUUGAUUUAUUACACUAAUAUAGAGUUGAGACAUCAAUGGUUCUACUUCUAGAAUCGAAUAAAGAUUAAUUAUUUUGUACCGUGUAUGCAGAGUGAAUGGGGGUGUGCAAGGAAUUGAGCGUGAGUGGAAACAUUUUAGUUAACAAAGGUAAUCAAAACGAGCAAACGGUUUUGAACUCAAUGCUAGAUGUGUUAGUAGCAUUUCUGUCAAUCGUUGGGCAAAGAUUAGUUUGCUCUUACUCCUUUCGCCAAAAUCACGGCGAUGAUGAAAAGGCCGUCUCUUCACAUCAUUAUCAACGUGCACUGUACAUACGAAAGGAAACCUGAAGACGAGAAAGAGGCGAUCUACGUGUAACAGUAGCAGAUAUAGGUACAACGGAUGUUUGCCGCGUGACGUGAAAAUCGUGUUUGACGGCAUAGACACUGAUACGAAAAAAAGGAAAUAUAGAGACGGGUAACGAUCAGCGAUGCGUUAACUUUGCAGCCUUUCAAGGUCCCCACAAAAAUAUUUAUAAGGGGGAACAGGUCAUUUGGCAUAACGCCAUUCGGCUUAAUGGCCUUUUAACAUAAUGGCCAUUUAGCAUAAUCAGAAAUAUAGUACUUCUUUCAAAAGAUGGCUGUUCUUGAUAAAAAAUGUGAUGCCAAAUAUCUAUUAUGCUAAAUGACCGUUAUGCCUACUGUCCGUUAUGUCAAAUGACCUAUAUAAGGUCACUUGAAUGUCAACUCCGGCUUCACCAAUGAUCACUCACCACCUAAUUACUUGAUGCAUUCCUCGGUGGUACCGUGACCUGCUCUAAUUCCGUGUGUUGCCUAAUACCGGGUAUUUGUGAAUUAUGUGGAUUUCUAACAUCCUAUUUUUCUAAAUGAUUGUCACAAACGUUAGCUAAUUAAGUAGUAUUUAGAAAGCCAUGACAAA
Molecule: RNA transcript, 4892 nt
Organism: Aedes aegypti (yellow fever mosquito)
Lineage: Eukaryota; Metazoa; Arthropoda; Insecta; Diptera; Culicidae
Gene: Tnpo
Gene name: transportin-1
Exons: 8
Source: RefSeq, a predicted model, not a curated record